Molecule: long non-coding RNA, 1065 nt
Organism: Mesocricetus auratus (golden hamster)
Lineage: Eukaryota; Metazoa; Chordata; Mammalia; Rodentia; Cricetidae
Exons: 2
Source: RefSeq, a predicted model, not a curated record
CUGCCACCUAAGGCCCCACCCACUUCCUCUUUGCUUCAAGAUGCCACCUCUUCGCUUCCCGCUCCAGGAGGCGGGGUUGGAAGAGCAUACUUUGGACGUGGCUUAGAGUUGCAGUUACUUUACGUGGACAAACACUGAUUCAGAUCUGACCCCUGUGACAUCUGAAUUAGACCUGAUACUUUACAAGCCUUCCAGGUGGAAUUUCACCUUCGGAGCUGGAGUUCCAGAGUCGACCUCAGUAAGAUGCUAUCCAACAGUAAAUACCGAAGCAGAAGUGAUGGAAAAUCUAACCCUUUGGGGUCAUGGGAAAACUUGCCACCCAACGUGGCCGUUAGGGUUACUUGAUUUCAUAUGUAACAUCUGUACGGGGGAUAUGUCAUGAACCAUCAGGAAGGACUCAGCUCAUCUUGCACGGUGCCAGAAAGUUGUCACCAAUACCACGCCAACUUGCUACCAGAACCAUGCCAAGUUGUUGCCAAUACCGUGUCAGGAGGUGAGCAUGCGAAUGAUUAUUUAUGGGGCUGUUUCCUUUAGAUCUGUGCUCUGAUGGUGUCACUGUGUUACUGAAAUGACUUUGUCCCUGCCUGGCCACUUCUUAGCCUUCCACCCCAGCAGCCACAGUCACCGUGGUGAUGCUUCUGAGACUGUCCACGGCCUUGACCAUGGUUCAAAUGUAUUGUGUGAUGCCUGGAAGACGCUGCCGCCGAGCCUUGUAAAGAAUGAAGAUGUUACCAGGCAACUCUAAAUCCCUGACUAAUGUACCUCCCAGCACUGGUGCAAUUGUGGUUCUUUUAUUUAGUUAUUUAUUUGUUUGAUUUUUCGAGACACGGUUUCUCUAUGUAUCUUUGGCUGCCCUGAACUCACUCAGUAGGCAAGGCUGGCCUUGAACUCAUAGAGAUCCACCUGUCUCUGCCUCUGCCUCCCAAGUGCUGGGAUUAAAGGCGUUCACCACCUCACCUGAUGGUUUUGUCUUUUAAGCGCUGUACUUCUAAGCUCAGGCACCAGGAAACAUUCCAGAGGCAUGAACCCAUCGUCAUCUGGCCAUUAAUAAAGGACUCAAACUUU